AGAGUCGUGCAGAAAGUAUUCAGACACUUGACGUAAGUUCCAUAGACUUAUGUGUUAAUUUAGUGUAGCAUAAAUAAUUUUCAUGAAUUUAAUUUUUGUAAGAUCCAAGUCAAAUUUUGCACAUUUGUGAGGAAUCAUCUUACCUACAAUCAUAUAAUUUCUGUUUAAUUUUCCGUUGCUUAUUUAUGGCAACAAUUUAAUCAACAUACGUACAGUGCCAUGAACUCCUUGAACAUGGCAGCCUAUGGGAUUGUGCAUUGUGGAACCAUACGCAAGUUGAUAAAAGUGAUGUCAUUAGUGAAAUAGUGGUUGGAACAUUGAGCU
This is a long non-coding RNA of Haliotis rubra (blacklip abalone), 324 nucleotides long. RefSeq lists it as uncharacterized. The transcript has 2 exons. The record is from RefSeq and is a predicted model, not a curated record. Lineage: Eukaryota; Metazoa; Mollusca; Gastropoda; Lepetellida; Haliotidae.